RNAcentral lists this ribosomal RNA (554 nucleotides) under Pelobates cultripes (western spadefoot toad). RNAcentral describes it as "SSU_rRNA_eukarya". It matches the Rfam family "Eukaryotic small subunit ribosomal RNA", at positions 58 to 579 of the family's 1831-position model. Lineage: Eukaryota; Metazoa; Chordata; Amphibia; Anura; Pelobatidae. The record is from RNAcentral.
CAUAGGUUGAAGAGGCGGUGUAGGUGGAAGCAGCAGUGGUGGAGGAGGAGGUAGCCAACACUGUUUAUAUAUAUAUAUAUAUAAUUUAUUUUAUUUUAUUUUUUGGGGGGGUAGCCCCCAAAAUAUUGGGACAUAUAAAAAAAAAAGACAACUCGGUUCCGCAGAGUCGCUGUUGACAUUAUAGUUGCACAGGCACUUUGUUGACUCUAGAGAACCACGGGCCAAUCGCACAUCCCCGUGACGGCGACUUUGCAUUCGGAUGUCAUCCAUAUCAACUUUCGAUGCCAGUUUCUGCGCCUAACAUGGUGACCACGGGUAACGGGGAAUCAGUGUUCCAUUCCGUACAGGGACCCUGAGAAACUGCCACCACAUCCAAGGAAGGCAGCAGGCGUGCAAAUGACCCACUCCCGACGCAGGAAGGUAGUGACGACAAAUAACAAUACAGGACUCUUUAGAGGCCCUGUAAUUGUAAUGAGUCCACUUGAAAUCCUUUAACUCUGAUCAGUUGGAGGGAAGUCUGGUGCAGAGCCACUGACCCGUGCGUGCUGCAGCUG